This 252-nucleotide ribosomal RNA is filed under the name uncultured Gardnerella sp. RNAcentral describes it as "partial 16S ribosomal RNA". It matches the Rfam family "Bacterial small subunit ribosomal RNA", at positions 100 to 356 of the family's 1533-position model. Lineage: Bacteria; Bacillati; Actinomycetota; Actinomycetes; Bifidobacteriales; Bifidobacteriaceae. The record is from RNAcentral.
GGGUAGAGUAAUGCGUGACCAACCUGCCCCAUGCUCCAGAAUAGCUCUUGGAAACGGGUGGUAAUGCUGGAUGCUCCAACUUGACGCAUGUCUUGUUGGGAAAGUGUUUAGUGGCAUGGGAUGGGGUCGCGUCCUAUCAGCUUGUAGGCGGGGUAAUGGCCCACCUAGGCUUCGACGGGUAGCCGGCCUGAGAGGGCGGACGGCCACAUUGGGACUGAGAUACGGCCCAGACUCCUACGGGAGGCAGCAGUG